Molecule: long non-coding RNA, 1557 nt
Organism: Gallus gallus (chicken)
Lineage: Eukaryota; Metazoa; Chordata; Aves; Galliformes; Phasianidae
Exons: 4
Source: RefSeq, a predicted model, not a curated record
GGGGGCGGGAAGUGGUUGCGUUGUUGCUAUUCGAUAUAAAAGAGACGUGUUGGGGUAGGGGCUACCUCAGUAGGAAGCAAUAGAAGAAGGGGCAACGGGGCGAAACUGGAACAGAAGGUUUUUCAGAACCGCUAUCCUGCUCUUCACCCUGUUAUCAGGAUAACCUGGCCAGGUUGGAAAUCAGCUGGAUCCUCACAGCAUCAACUGGUUGGGCUCUUCCUGCAACUCAGUACAGAGAAUGAGACAGCGCUGCAAUUAAAAGGCGCCUGUAGGAAUGAAUCAGAUUUUCUCAGGCAGGCAGGAAGCCGCCUUCCACGUUCAGAAAUCAGUGAGCAUUGUGGGAGAUGUAGUGCAGAUUCAUGCCCUGCAGCUCGCUGCGGUUCGGGGCUAGCUGCCUUAAGGCUGGCAGCAGUCCCCCUUCCAGCAUCCCUCCCUUCGCUUUUUAACAAUGGACGUUUCUCCUGUGCCGUUCCCACUUAUCCCAGCCAGAAAAUCAAGACUAAAUUACCUUUCUACUGAGAAAUUCCCUCACCAGAGAUGCAGCCACUUCUUCCACGAAGGAAUUGUCCAUUUUUAGCCCGAAGUCUGCUCGGGGGGGUCUCCUUGGCUCGGUCUGACCGAUCCCCCAUGGCAGCCCGGCCAGGCGAUGCGGCCCUGGAGCAGCGCGUCCUGCGCGCCGCCGGAUCCUGAGCAGCAGCAGAACUCCUCCCCGUGGGACGCGAGCCGAGCUCUGUCUGUCUCCGAGUGCUGCAGGCGCCGUGUAUGGCUUCCAUCUUGGGAACAUCUGAGUAGAAGAAGAUUGACUUUCAAUGAAACAUAACUUGCAUGUGUCUUCAGGAUAGCAGGGGAGGUAAUUUGCUGUCCAUUCAAUAACUAAGACAUGCUAAGGGUCUGACUACUUCGUUAAUGUUGUCAGUGCAAGCAGUCUGAUCUGCAUUCAUUAGCUUGCAGUUUCAUUUGUUCUAGAACAUGAUGCAGCAUGCAAGAGAAUGCUUGGUAUGAUACAGUGACCUUUCUCCCCCCUGUAUUCCAGGAAUUAUGUUCCAAAAUGAAAGUGGAGCAUAGUUUUAAUAAAUUGACCUCUUGGAAGGUGUCAUUUCAAUGCACAUUUUCCAGAGAGAACUGCUGCGUGACUGUGCAUGAUGGGGCACGUGAGAGGGGCUGUCAUGCUGCCAAGCCUCCAUUGACUUCCACUGAUUUCACAAAACCAGUUUGCUAUGUCCAGAAGGCAUUCAGGUGCUUAGCUUCAUGGCUGGUGUCAACAAAGUAGAUUUAUACAGCAGCAUAUUGGUAGAUGUCUCUGCUCCACAGAGGAAGCGUUUUUCUCUAAGAGGUAAGAGAACUACAGCGUAGGCUUGUGACCUGGUUAAAAUUGCCAAGGAAUUUGCCAAUCCCAAAAUUGUUCAGGGGGAAAAAGAAAUGAAAAAUAUUAAGAUAUUCUUAUCUCUGCUGACAGCUGUAACAAGACAGCGUUGCUUUUUGGAAACUUUUUGCCUAAUGCAGUGAAGUAAAAACUGCAUGUACACGUGUUUGUUAAUGCUGGUUUAUAUACUGCUU